GGGAACUCUCAGAGUUUUAUUGUCUAUAUUUUUAGUGGCGCUUCCGAACUGCUCACACUGCUGGAGUGCCUGGCAUUGGGGACAGAAAAGCAAUGUACCGUGGUCAAGAGGAAGUAUCAUAGCCGUUUCACUUUGAGCGGGCUCUUUGCCCAAAGUCCUAAUUCAAGUGAUGCUAAAGAGCUCUCUAGAGGUUGUAAAGAAAGGCAAUUGCAAAUGUGUAGCCCACAAAAUCACUUUUAUUUGCUUUGAAGUGUACUCACCGAAGGUUUUUCAUUCUACUGUUCUUUAUUGUUAGGUACCCAGUCUCUACAAAGUGGGUAGAACAACACGCUGCAUAUUCGGCCAAGAGGCCAACUGCAAAAAUGAUAGGGCCAGGAGAGGAUUGUCACAACCAAUGAAGAACUCAUAAGCACAGUAGAAUCCAGGUUUUACCAAAGAAAAUUUGUAGAUCUCCAGAGGCUUGGUAAGCUGCAGACAGCUUUUAAGUAAUGAAUUAGCCCAUGACUUACUUAUGAUACUUAGACUCCUCCAACCAUGCCAAAGAAACAUUUGUUUUCUUUAUCAAUCCCUUAGGAAACAAGGCCUAAAAUGCACUUUCCAGGAUGUAUGCUCUUCCAUUCCAAAGAGGCAUUCAAGAAGGUGUUUGUCAGAAGAUAAGUGUCAGGGAAGCCUGGAGGGUCUGCCUUGGGAUCCACUGUUGAAGAAGAGAAGCUACCCUCUAAUAGAAAUUGAGGAGAACUAAAAAAAAAAAAAAAAAAAAAAAAAAAAAAAAAAAAAAAAAAAAAAGGUAAAGCAAAAAAGAAAAGGGCAGAUACUAGAGGUAUGAUUAGCUAGCAAAAACUCUUGGCAUGGUCAACCCAAAACAAACAGACAAGAAGAAAACAUAAACAAAAUCAUAUCAAGGGUUAAACACACCACCAAAUUUAUCAUGGAAAGCCGAAACAACACCAUGCCUAAGAAAAUGGAAGUUAUCUAUGGAAUCUACCAUCUCAAGGUUAUAUGAGACUCCCUUCUCCAACUCCCCAUAGCUCUAUUUUUUAGAAAACAGACAAAAGGAUGAAGAGAUAUAGAGCAAUUGUCCCAAAUGAUUGUUUAAAUUAGCCAAAUGGACUGAGAUUUAAAGCAAGACUGGGAACUUACUGUUUUAGCUCUCUACCUAGUUUGGGAAGAGACAUGAUUAAUUAAAUCAGGAUGAUGAUACACCCCGGUAUAGUUAACUUGGUAUGGAAAUCGGGUGUAUGCUUGUUAUCUCAACAUUAAGUCAGAUUUAUCAUUUGUCUUCUUUAGAAAAAUAUUUCUAAGAAAUAAGGAGUAGUACUAUCCAGAGUUUCAUCAAACAAAACUGGGAUGAAUUUCUGAUUUGGCUAUAGUUUCAUUUAGUAGUCAGGUGCAAGUGCAGUGAAUGGAAUCCUUACUUUACCAUACGAUUAAAUCUUAAUAACCCAACUCUCUUCUCUUAGCUCUUUCCAGGAAUCUUGUAACUAAAACUUACUUUUCAAGGACAGCAGGUAGAGUCCUUAUUGAUAAAGCAGAGUUCCGGGACAGCUCACUCCUGGUGUGGGGUGGUGGUAGGAAAAGUGUUUGAUGGUGCUCCUCCCUAGACCCCUGGACAUACCAACAAAUUGUGCCUUGGCUCCUGUGGCAGCCUGGGAGAUUCACAGAACUUCAAGUAGCCACUGGAGCCAAUGUAAAACAUGGGAUAUUAUAGGUUAGUUACUUUACAUAGGAAAAACAGCCUAAGU
Long non-coding RNA from Vulpes vulpes (red fox), 1742 nucleotides. Lineage: Eukaryota; Metazoa; Chordata; Mammalia; Carnivora; Canidae. The record is from Ensembl.